RNAcentral lists this microRNA precursor (105 nucleotides) under Canis lupus familiaris (dog). Its description in RNAcentral is "mir-8834 microRNA precursor family". It matches the Rfam family "mir-8834 microRNA precursor family". Lineage: Eukaryota; Metazoa; Chordata; Mammalia; Carnivora; Canidae. The record is from Rfam by way of RNAcentral.
AGGAGGAACAACCGCAGUGGCGGGGCCAGCUCUGGAGCCCUGGAGUCAGCUCCCACAGUAGCUCCAGAGCUCUCGGUCUGCAGGGCCUGGAGGCUCCGGGGCGGG